Molecule: long non-coding RNA, 2287 nt
Filed under: Pan troglodytes (chimpanzee)
Lineage: Eukaryota; Metazoa; Chordata; Mammalia; Primates; Hominidae
Description: lincRNA
Source: RNAcentral
UUUCUUCCUGGAAAAGAGACUCCAACUGUCUUUUGCACAGUGCUUUAAACUCAUACCAUUAAUCACUCUUUGAGACUAAAGCUCUGAUAACCUGAGUGAAGAAUUGGUUACAAGGACAUUACAAUGCACCAUGCUACCUUCAGCCAUUUGUUCUUCUGCAUAAAUUGUUUUGACCGAUUAGCCAAUCAGUCACCAACAAGACCCAAAAGGAAUGAGAAUCUAAAGAGAUUGUCACCAUUUGGUGGGUUUGAACACCAAGAGGAUAGAGCCUAGAGCAUUGUGGUCUGCUUUAAGACUUCUGAGAGGCAACAAGGAGUCCUGAGAGAAGCUGAGGGCUUCAAGCAAUGAGAUUUGAGUCUACCUCCCUUCAUCAAAAGUGCAGCUAGAAAAACUUGGAGAAGCAACCAGAAUGGGAGAUGGGAGGGUAAUACUUUUACAUCAAAACAACACUAGCUUUAUUGGCUGAAAUAAGAGCAAAGUAUGUAAGUAGAAAUGAUAUUAAUCUGUCAUGCAUAUCACCUCUCAAGUGGUUCCUCAACAAUAGUGUUAAUCAAGCUUUGCCCUACUUUUAUCGGAAACCUGGUGAAGAAUAGCUUUGACAUUUAUCAGACAUAGGACACUAAGAAAAUUGCCGUAUGUAUAAAUAAAUUUAUGCCUUGAAAAUGUUUGUGCCAUGCUCUGGGAAAGGGGAUCAGGAACAAAUGAGAGGGUAGAGGUAGAAGGGAAAGGUCUGCAGAAUGUGGAGGUGAGAAGGAAAGAAGAAAAGGGUUGGGCAUGGAGGGAGGUAACAUCGGGGCUAAACCUAAUAGGCCUGGGGAGCCUCCAGAGAUUCAGGCAGUUAAGUUUCUCUCCUUUUUUUUUUUUCUGGUGUUCCCAUUUUCAUUUGGGUGGCUUUGGGCAAGUCUUUCUGAAUCUCAGAUGGUGCUAACACUUUCAUCCAACUGAGGAAUCAAUAAGAUGACAGGCUUAAAAGUGUUUUGCUAACUAUAAAGUGGUACACUAAUGUUAUUUAGAGCAAGGAAGAAAAAGUAGAGAGCAUCUAAUAACUUACAAUGCUAUUAUGGUAAAAAAAAAAAAAAAAAGUUUGUCCACAGGAUACACAAAGAUGAAUGAGUAAAAAGUGAUUCAUCAAUUAUCCCAGCCUAGGAAGACUCAGCCAAGGAUGGGCAAAAUACUAAAUUCCUCUCUUAGCUAUAUAUGGAAUAGGUCAGGGAGAGGGUUUAUUUUACUGCUCUCCUUCUUAUAAAUGUGGGGUUCAGAAUUGAACAGUUGUUCCAUCAACCAUGACCCUAAAAAGCUGGGUAUGCUAGGAAUCUAGGAGAAGAGAUUCAAAUAUAUUUUCGCUUGGAUAUAAAAAUGGGGAUGAAAAGCCACAGUGGUGACAUGUCAUUUUGCAUACCUCAGAAUUCCAGAGAUCCCUAGCUUUUGAUUCUGUGCAGGCUUUCUGUGGUACUGGCUGUAUCAGCUGCUCUUAACCAUGAACCAGAGCAUCUUGGAGAGGAGCUGCUAAGUGCCUACUGAGUCUGUAGCAUGGAAAACAUGUCUGCAACGUUAAUGGAGAGCUCUGGUUUCUGGGGCUGAGAGAUUUCAAUCACUGAUAUUGUCAGUGAGUGAGGGUGGCCGGGGCCAUGGUGUAUGCUUGUCUGGAAUAAAGAACAACAGUUUUGAAAAAAAAAAUCAAAAAACAAAAACAAAAACAACCUUGCUGAGUAGGUGCCAGGUGUGAUUGGAGCUGGGCUGACUUCCUCCCACGCAACAGGGAGCCCUCCUGCAAGGCCAGGCAGCUCACCACAGCACCACUGCUCAGAAACAGGAGGUUAAUUAGCCCAGCACUUAAUGAGAGCGUCUGGAGGAACUGUUAAGAAAAUACUAAAAAAUAAAUGAGAUGGAGUAACGAUGGAAGGAAGGCAUAGACAUGCUCCGAAAUGGCUGGUAGAAGAAAUAAUAUGGCUGAGACAAAUUGAGAAUGACUGAGCAGCUGAAGCCUGGCCCCAGUGCUGCUGAAGGGGCACCCUCUUAAUGAACAAGCAGUGCAGAGAUGGAGGAACUUAUGAAGCUUGGCAGCUAUGGUGGUGGUGAAGUGUGUGUGCAUAUGUGUGUGUGUGUUGGGGGUAGGGUAGAAUGGGAGAUAGGGUUUCUUUUCAUUUUAAGGACUUUGGAAUCACAAGACUUCUAAGUCAAAGAAAUUAUUAUCUUCUAUCCCUAGGAUCAUUUCUAUUUAUUUCCUAUUAAGCUUGGCACUUAUCAAAAAUAAAUAUUUGUGGAAUAAAUGAGUGGAUUAAAAAAA